CUAGCAUAUCAAUAAGCGGAGGAAAAGAAACCAACAGGGAUUGCCCCAGUAACGGCGAGUGAAGCGGCAACAGCUCAAAUUUGAAAUCUGGCUCUCGGGCCCGAGUUGUAAUUUGUAGAGGAUGCUUUUGGUGAGGUGCCUUCCGAGUUCCCUGGAACGGGACGCCAUAGAGGGUGAGAGCCCCGUCUGGUUGGACACCGAUCCUCUGUAAAGCUCCUUCGACGAGUCGAGUAGUUUGGGAAUGCUGCUCUAAAUGGGAGGUAUAUGUCUUCUAAAGCUAAAUACCGGCCAGAGACCGAUAGCGCACAAGUAGAGUGAUCGAAAGAUGAAAAGAACUUUGAAAAGAGAGUUAAAAAGUACGUGAAAUUGUUGAAAGGGAAGCGCUUGUGACCAGACUUGGGCUUGGUUGAUCAUCCGGGGUUCUCCCCGGUGCACUCUUCCGGCUCAGGCCAGCAUCAGUUCGCCCUGGGGGAUAAAGGCUUCGGGAAUGUGGCUCUCUCCGGGGAGUGUUAUAGCCCGCUGCGUAAUACCCUGUGGCGGACUGAGGUUCGCGCAUUCGCAAGGAUGCUGGCGUAAUGGUCAUCAGUGACCCGUCUUGAAACACGGACCAAGGAGUCGUCUUCGUAUGCGAGUGUUCGGGUGUCAAACCCCUACGCGAAAUGAAAGUGAACGCAGGUGAGAGCUUCGGCGCAUCAUCGACCGAUCCUGAUGUUAUCGGAUGGAUUUGAGUAAGAGCAUACGGGGCCGGACCCGAAAGAAGGUGAACUAUGCCUGUGUAGGGUGAAGCCAGAGGAAACUCUGGUGGAGGCUCGCAGCGGUUCUGACGUGCAAAUCGAUCGUCAAACAUGGGCAUGGGGGCGAAAGACUAAUCGAACCUUCUAGUAGCUGGGUUUCCGCCGAA
Molecule: ribosomal RNA, 901 nt
Filed under: Fusarium solani
Lineage: Eukaryota; Fungi; Ascomycota; Sordariomycetes; Hypocreales; Nectriaceae
Description: 28S rRNA
Rfam family: Eukaryotic large subunit ribosomal RNA
Source: RNAcentral